AAAACAAGUGCUAUGGUAAGUAGCCGACAUAUUUUGCUUUCCGAGUAGUGCCUCAGCCGAGGCACUUUUUUUUUGC
This 76-nucleotide non-coding RNA is filed under the name uncultured Actinobacillus sp. Its description in RNAcentral is "Aggregatibacter sRNA 20". It matches the Rfam family "Aggregatibacter sRNA 20". Rfam says of the family: Validated by RT-PCR and Northern blot. Lineage: Bacteria; Pseudomonadati; Pseudomonadota; Gammaproteobacteria; Pasteurellales; Pasteurellaceae. The record is from RNAcentral.